AUGGCAGAUUUUAGCGUGGUGGCUGGCGGCAGUGGUGAGGUAGAUGACAAUGCCAGGCUCGAUUGGGGUUGGCUUGGCACAAUGGAUUUGGCAGAGUUGAAGAGGGUAACGAGGCAGAUGAUCCCGACAUUUUGGUGUGGCUCUAUGCUUCCUCCGGCCACGUGCAUGGCGAUGGUGGCCAUCGACCGAAGCUCGGGCACUCUCGGGGUGGCUGCAGAUGUGGGAGAGAAGGCAGAGGAGGGCCCCACUAGUCAACAACGCUUUGACCUCGUCCAUGUCAGCAAAACCACCGGUGCAAACCCACCAAUGAUGAUUUUUGAACGGUUUGGGAUAGAUUAG
This 339-nucleotide ribosomal RNA is filed under the name Triticum aestivum (bread wheat). Its description in RNAcentral is "partial small subunit ribosomal RNA". Lineage: Eukaryota; Viridiplantae; Streptophyta; Magnoliopsida; Poales; Poaceae. The record is from RNAcentral.